RNAcentral lists this non-coding RNA (185 nucleotides) under Chryseomicrobium excrementi. RNAcentral's name for it is "6S RNA". It matches the Rfam family "6S / SsrS RNA". From Rfam's summary of the family: E. coli 6S RNA was the first non coding RNA to be sequenced, but its function was unknown until recently. The record is from RNAcentral. Lineage: Bacteria; Bacillati; Bacillota; Bacilli; Caryophanales; Caryophanaceae.
CGAAUCCUGAUGUGUUCGUGACUUGUUAAUCGAUUUUGACCGAACAUUUUAUCGUCGGGAGUCCGACUUUCACAAUAAAGAGCAUGCCAUCUCGGUGGACGCUUCGGCGUUGUGAAGAGGACACCCACCUGCUGAGUGCGGGUUCAAAACGAUAGCUUUACAGAGACGGCACGCUUGGGAUUCGU